UGUGUUAGUGGAAGCGUCUGGAAAGGCGCGCGAUACAGGGUGACAGCCCCGUACACAAAAAUGCACAUAUUGUGAGCUCGAUGAGUAGGGCGGGACACGUGGUAUCCUGUCUGAAUAUGGGGGGCCCAUCCUCCAAGGCUAAAUACUCCUGACUGACCGAUAGUGAACCAGUACCGUGAGGGAAAGGCGAAAAGAACCCCGGCGAGGGGAGUGAAAAAGAACCUGAAACCGUGUACGUACAAGCAGUGGGAGCACGCUUAGGCGUGUGACUGCGUACCUUUUGUAUAAUGGGUCAGCGACUUAUAUUCUGUAGCAAGGUUAACCGAAUAGGGGAGCCGAAGGGAAACCGAGUCUUAACUGGGCGUUAAGUUGCAGGGUAUAGACCCGAAACCCGGUGAUCUAGCCAUGGGCAGGUUGAAGGUUGGGUAACACUAACUGGAGGACCGAACCGACUAAUGUUGAAAAAUUAGCGGAUGACUUGUGGCUGGGGGUGAAAGGCCAAUCAAACCGGGAGAUAGCUGGUUCUCCCCGAAAGCUAUUUAGGUAGCGCCUCGUGAAUUCAUCUCCGGGGGUAGAGCACUGUUUCGGCAAGGGGGUCAUCCCGACUUACCAACCCGAUGCAAACUGCGAAUACCGGAGAAUGUUAUCACGGGAGACACACGGCGGGUGCUAACGUCCGUCGUGAAGAGGGAAACAACCCAGACCGCCAGCUAAGGUCCCAAAGUCAUGGUUAAGUGGGAAACGAUGUGGGAAGGCCCAGACAGCCAGGAUGUUGGCUUAGAAGCAGCCAUCAUUUAAAGAAAGCGUAAUAGCUCACUGGUCGAGUCGGCCUGCGCGGAAGAUGUAACGGGGCUAAACCAUGCACCGAAGCUGCGGCAGCGACGCUUAUGCGUUGUUGGGUAGGGGAGCGUUCUGUAAGCCUGCGAAGGUGUGCUGUGAGGCAUGCUGGAGGUAUCAGAAGUGCGAAUGCUGACAUAAGUAACGAUAAAGCGGGUGAAAAGCCCGCUCGCCGGAAGACCAAGGGUUCCUGUCCAACGUUAAUCGGGGCAGGGUGAGUCGACCCCUAAGGCGAGGCCGAAAGGCGUAGUCGAUGGGAAACAGGUUAAUAUUCCUGUACUUGGUGUUACUGCGAAGGGGGGACGGAGAAGGCUAUGUUGGCCGGGCGACGGUUGUCCCGGUUUAAGCGUGUAGGCUGGUUUUCCAGGCAAAUCCGGAAAAUCAAGGCUGAGGCGUGAUGACGAGGCACUACGGUGCUGAAGCAACAAAUGCCCUGCUUCCAGGAAAAGCCUCUAAGCAUCAGGUAACAUCAAAUCGUACCCCAAACCGACACAGGUGGUCAGGUAGAGAAUACCAAGGCGCUUGAGAGAACUCGGGUGAAGGAACUAGGCAAAAUGGUGCCGUAACUUCGGGAGAAGGCACGCUGAUAUGUAGGUGAAGUCCCUUGCGGAUGGAGCUGAAAUCAGUCGAAGAUACCAGCUGGCUGCAACUGUUUAUUAAAAACACAGCACUGUGCAAACACGAAAGUGGACGUAUACGGUGUGACGCCUGCCCGGUGCCGGAAGGUUAAUUGAUGGGGUCAGCGCAAGCGAAGCUCUUGAUCGAAGCCCCGGUAAACGGCGGCCGUAACUAUAACGGUCCUAAGGUAGCGAAAUUCCUUGUCGGGUAAGUUCCGACCUGCACGAAUGGCGUAAUGAUGGCCAGGCUGUCUCCACCCGAGACUCAGUGAAAUUGAACUCGCUGUGAAGAUGCAGUGUACCCGCGGCAAGACGGAAAGACCCCGUGAACCUUUACUAUAGCUUGACACUGAACAUUGAGCCUUGAUGUGUAGGAUAGGUGGGAGGCUUUGAAGUGUGGACGCCAGUCUGCAUGGAGCCGGCCUUGAAAUACCACCCUUUAAUGUUUGAUGUUCUAACGUGGACCCGUGAUCCGGGUUGCGGACAGUGUCUGGUGGGUAGUUUGACUGGGGCGGUCUCCUCCUAAAGAGUAACGGAGGAGCACGAAGGUUGGCUAAUCCUGGUCGGACAUCAGGAGGUUAGUGCAAUGGCAUAAGCCAGCUUGACUGCGAGCGUGACGGCGCGAGCAGGUGCGAAAGCAGGUCAUAGUGAUCCGGUGGUUCUGAAUGGAAGGGCCAUCGCUCAACGGAUAAAAGGUACUCCGGGGAUAACAGGCUGAUACCGCCCAAGAGUUCAUAUCGACGGCGGUGUUUGGCACCUCGAUGUCGGCUCAUCACAUCCUGGGGCUGAAGUAGGUCCCAAGGGUAUGGCUGUUCGCCAUUUAAAGUGGUACGCGAGCUGGGUUUAGAACGUCGUGAGACAGUUCGGUCCCUAUCUGCCGUGGGCGCUGGAGAACUGAGGGGGGCUGCUCCUAGUACGAGAGGACCGGAGUGGACGCAUCACUGGUGUUCGGGUUGUCAUGCCAAUGGCACUGCCCGGUAGCUAAAUGCGGAAGAGAUAAGUGCUGAAAGCAUCUAAGCACGAAACUUGCCCCGAGAUGAGUUCUCCCUGACCCUUUAAGGGUCCUGAAGGAACGUUGAAGACGACGACGUUGAUAGGCCGGGUGUGUAAGCGCAGCGAUGCGUUGAGCUAACCGGUACUAAUGAACCGUGAGG
RNAcentral lists this ribosomal RNA (2608 nucleotides) under Shigella sonnei. Its description in RNAcentral is "partial 23S ribosomal RNA". It matches the Rfam family "Bacterial large subunit ribosomal RNA", at positions 325 to 2915 of the family's 2925-position model. Lineage: Bacteria; Pseudomonadati; Pseudomonadota; Gammaproteobacteria; Enterobacterales; Enterobacteriaceae. The record is from RNAcentral.